This 442-nucleotide ribosomal RNA is filed under the name uncultured bacterium. RNAcentral describes it as "partial 16S ribosomal RNA". It matches the Rfam family "Bacterial small subunit ribosomal RNA", at positions 338 to 795 of the family's 1533-position model. The record is from RNAcentral.
CCUACGGGAGGCAGCAGUGGGGAAUAUUGGGCAAUGGGCGCAAGCCUGACCCAGCAAUGCCGCGUGAAGGAAGAAGGCUUUCGGGUUGUAAACUUCUUUGACAGGGGAAGAGCAGAAGACGGUACCCUGAAAACAAGCCACGGCUAACUACGUGCCAGCAGCCGCGGUAAUACGUAGGUGGCAAGCGUUGUCCGGAUUUACUGGGUGUAAAGGGCGUGUAGCCGGGAAGGCAAGUCAGAUGUGAAAUCCGGAGGCUCAACCUCCGAAUUGCAUUUGAAACUGUUUUUCUUGAGUACUGGAGAGGCAGACGGAAUUCCUUGUGUAGCGGUGAAAUGCGUAGAUAUAAGGAGGAACACCGAUUGCGAAGGCAGCAUACCGGCGCUCAACUGACGCUCAUGCACGAAAGUGUGGGUAUCGAACAGGAGUAGAUACCCCUGUAGUC